UUGUCCUGCUCUACCUUGGCAACAGUUGUUGUUUCUCUUUCAGGUCCUUUGAAUGUGUCAUGGAAUUGACCUAGUUAGAUUCGUUGGGGAUUGCACAGGGUGUUUUGCUGAGCGAUUGUGGUAUAGCGAGAUCCUGAUCACACUAGGAAUCUCCAAUAAUCACAGCAGCUGCUGCAAAUGCUCAGCAAGUCCGGCAGCUUCUGUAGAUAUGAGGAGGAGGAUUAACAUCUCAGCUCUAUAAAAAUUAACGUUGUGACAAUUUUCAUUCUGCUUUAUAAAGAUUGUGGAUUGUCUCCGUGUGUCAAAUGUUACCUGGGAGCCGUGGCAGUGGCUGAUCUACUGGUCAUCAUCCUUGAUCUGAUAUUGAGAGACAUUCCCAUUGUUUAUCAAGAACAGUUUUAUUUCCUGCAGUUCAUCCCCCUGUGUAAUAUCCAUGCCGUCCUGCUUUAUGCAUCCACUGACUGUUCUGUCUGGUUCACCGUCACUUUCACCUUUGAUCGAUUUGUAGC
Non-coding RNA from Chiloscyllium plagiosum (whitespotted bambooshark), 509 nucleotides. The record is from RefSeq and is a predicted model, not a curated record. NCBI's taxonomy places the organism in Eukaryota, Metazoa, Chordata, Chondrichthyes, Orectolobiformes, Hemiscylliidae.